RNAcentral lists this ribosomal RNA (254 nucleotides) under uncultured bacterium. Its description in RNAcentral is "partial 16S ribosomal RNA". It matches the Rfam family "Bacterial small subunit ribosomal RNA", at positions 524 to 777 of the family's 1533-position model. The record is from RNAcentral.
UACGGGGGGGGCUAGCGUUGUUCGGAAUUACUGGGCGUAAAGCGCACGUAGGCGGCUUUGUAAGUUAGAGGUGAAAGCCCAGGGCUUAACCCUGGAGUUGCCUUUAAGACUGCAUCGCUAGAAUUGUGGAGAGGUAAGUGGAAUUCCGAGUGUAGAGGUGAAAUUCGUAGAUAUUCGGAAGAACACCAGUGGCGAAGGCGACUUACUGGACACAUAUUGACGCUGAGGUGCGAAAACGUGGGGAGCAAAGCAGG